GGGAUAUUGCACAAUGGGGGGAACCCUGAUGCAGCGACGCCGCGUGAGGGAAGACGGUUUUCGGAUUGUAAACCUCUGUCUUUAGGGACGAAACAAGUGACGGUACCUAAAGAGGAAGCCACGGCUAACUCCGUCCCAGCAGCCGCGGUAAUACGUAGGUGGCAAGCGUUGUCCGGAAUUACUGGGUGUAAAGGGAGCGUAGGCGGGAAUGCAAGUUGAAUGUUUAAACUAUGGGCUCAACCCAUAGUCGCGUUCAAAACUGCAUUUCUUGAGUGGAGUAGAGGCAGGCGGAAUUCCUAGUGUAGCGGUGAAAUGCGUAGAUAUUAGGAGGAACACCAGUGGCGAAGGCGGCCUGCUGGGCUCUAACUGACGCUGAGGCUCGAAAGCGUGGGUAGCAAACA
Molecule: ribosomal RNA, 401 nt
Filed under: uncultured bacterium
Lineage: Bacteria
Description: bacterial SSU rRNA
Rfam family: Bacterial small subunit ribosomal RNA
Source: RNAcentral